AGUGAACGCUGGCGGUAGGCCUAACACAUGCGAGUCGAACGGCAGCACAGUAAGAGCUUGCUCUUACGGGUGGCGAGUGGCGGACGGGUGAGGAAUACAUCGGAAUCUACUUUUUCGUGGGGGAUAACGUAGGGAAACUUACGCUAAUACCGCAUACGACCUACGGGUGAAAGCAGGGGAUCUUCGGACCUUGCGCGAUUGAAUGAGCCGAUGUCGGAUUAGCUAGUUGGCGGGGUAAAGGCCCACCAAGGCGACGAUCCGUAGCUGGUCAGAGAGGAUGAUCAGCCACACUGGAACUGAGACACGGUCCAGACUCCUACGGGAGGCAGCAGUGGGGAAUAUUGGACAAUGGGCGCAAGCCUGAUCCAGCCAUACCGCGUGGGUGAAGAAGGCCUUCGGGUUGUAAAGCCCUUUUGUUGGGAAAGAAAAGCAGCAGGUUAAUACCCCGCUGUUCUGACGGUACCCAAAGAAUAAGCACCGGCUAACUUCGUG
RNAcentral lists this ribosomal RNA (492 nucleotides) under uncultured bacterium. RNAcentral describes it as "partial 16S ribosomal RNA". It matches the Rfam family "Bacterial small subunit ribosomal RNA", at positions 29 to 507 of the family's 1533-position model. The record is from RNAcentral.